ACAAAAAGCAAUCCGCACACUAAAUCAUGGGCAAGAAAGACAAGAAUAAGGAACCGGCGGAUGCUGCAGCAGCUGGCGAUGCACCACCCGUUGAUGGCCCACCGGCGGGCGAGGGCGGAGAUGGUGAGAUUGUGGGCGGACCACGCAAUCCCCAACAAAUUGCGGCACAGAAGCGCUUGCAACAGACGCAGGCUCAAGUUGAUGAGGUUGUAGAUAUUAUGCGCACGAAUGUGGAAAAGGUGCUGGAGCGUGAUGCCAAGCUCUCGGAGCUAGAUGAUCGUGCCGAUGCCUUGCAGCAGGGCGCCUCGCAAUUCGAGCAGCAGGCUGGCAAGCUAAAACGAAAGUUCUGGUUGCAAAACUUGAAGAUGAUGAUCAUAAUGGGCGUUAUUGGACUGGUUAUCGUUGGCAUUAUAGCAAAGAAAGACGAAGAGAAAUAAAAUUAAAAGCAAAAAAUUUGUGCAAGCUUUUAGCUUUAUGUUAUGUUUACCAAUACGAACUAUUCAAAUGAACAAAUUCUUUAAACUAUUAUGAUUUAAGAUAAGCUGGGCCUCAUAGGCGGUGAGCAGCCGCCGCAGUAUCCACAGUAUCCGCAGUAUAUGCCACCACCACCACCGCAACAACAGCAGCCACCUGCCGGCGGACAAUCGGCGCUGGUUGAUGAUGGGACCGGAACAGGCGCUGCAGCUGACGCCGGGGCUGGAGCAGGUUCCCAUGCGGG
This 718-nucleotide unclassified non-coding RNA is filed under the name Drosophila mojavensis. RNAcentral's name for it is "GI16800". The record is from RNAcentral. Lineage: Eukaryota; Metazoa; Arthropoda; Insecta; Diptera; Drosophilidae.